AUUGAACGCUGGCGGCAUGCUUUACACAUGCAAGUCGAACGGCAGCACGGGUGCUUGCACCUGGUGGCGAGUGGCGGACGGGUGAGUAAUGCAUCGGAACGUGUCCUAAAGUGGGGGAUAACGCAUCGAAAGAUGUGCUAAUACCGCAUAUUCUCUGAGGAGGAAAGUAGGGGAUCGAAAGACCUUAUGCUUUUGGAGCGGCCGAUGUCUGAUUAGCUAGUUGGUAGGGUAAUGGCUUACCAAGGCGACGAUCAGUAGUUGGUCUGAGAGGACGACCAGCCACACUGGGACUGAGACACGGCCCAGACUCCUACGGGAGGCAGCAGUGGGGAAUUUUGGACAAUGGGCGCAAGCCUGAUCCAGCAAUGCCGCGUGAGUGAAGAAGGCCUUCGGGUUGGUUAAAGGUACUCUUUCUAGUUGUAGAAGAAAAAGUUAGUAGACUAAUAAUACAUGAUUCAUGACGGUAUCAACAGAAGAAGA
Molecule: ribosomal RNA, 480 nt
Filed under: uncultured bacterium
Lineage: Bacteria
Description: bacterial SSU rRNA
Rfam family: Bacterial small subunit ribosomal RNA
Source: RNAcentral